AACGAACGCUGGCGGCAUGCCUAACACAUGCAAGUCGAACGAGACCUUCGGGUCUAGUUGCGCACGGGUGCGUAACGCGUGGGAACCUGCCCUUAGGGUCGGAAUAACUCCCCGAAAGGGGUGCUAAUACCGGAUAAUGUCUUCGGACCAAAGAUUUAUCUCCUUUGGAUGGGCCCGCGUUGGAUUAGCUAGUUGGUAGGGUAAAAGCCUACCAAGGCGACGAUCCAUAGCUGGUCUGGGAGGAGGAUCCGCCACACUGGGACUGAGACACGGCCCAGACUCCUACGGGAGGCAGCAGUGGGGAAUAUUGGACGAUGGGCGAAAGCCUGAUCCAGCAAUGCCGCGUGAGUGAUGAAGGCCUUAGGGUUGUAAAGCUCUUUUACCCGGGAUGAUAAUGACAGUACCGGGAGAAUAAGCUCCGGCUAACUCCGUG
Molecule: ribosomal RNA, 433 nt
Filed under: uncultured bacterium
Lineage: Bacteria
Description: partial 16S ribosomal RNA
Rfam family: Bacterial small subunit ribosomal RNA
Source: RNAcentral